AUUGAACGCUGGCGGCAUGCCUUACACAUGCAAGUCGAACGGCAGCACGGGAGCAAUCCUGGUGGCGAGUGGCGAACGGGUGAGUAAUAUAUCGGAACGUGCCCGGUCGUGGGGAUAACGUAGCGAAAGCUACGCUAAUACCGCAUACGAUCUACGGAUGAAAGCGGGGGAUCGCAAGACCUCGCGCGAUUGGAGCGGCCGAUAUCAGAUUAGGUAGUUGGUGAGGUAAAGGCUCACCAAGCCGACGAUCUGUAGCUGGUCUGAGAGGACGACCAGCCACACUGGGACUGAGACACGGCCCAGACUCCUACGGGAGGCAGCAGUGGGGAAUUUUGGGACCAAUGGGCGCAAGCCUGAUCCAGCAAUGCCGCGUGCAGGAUGAAGGCC
This 387-nucleotide ribosomal RNA is filed under the name uncultured bacterium. RNAcentral describes it as "bacterial SSU rRNA". It matches the Rfam family "Bacterial small subunit ribosomal RNA", at positions 29 to 416 of the family's 1533-position model. The record is from RNAcentral.